UCUCAACAUGCAUCACAUCUAGAUUGUGCCUCAAUUUCAGUUUCGACCAAUAUGGGAGCUCAAAAAACAUAGGCUUAUGCGUCCAGUUCAAAUGUGUAGAAGGUCUGGUCCGACUAACUGUUUUCCCGAACGGAGCAAAAUCCAAACGGUUCAGCUGUUCCAAGAUCUCAUCACCGGACCAUUCUCUAGGUCUGAGGCGACGCUCUGUGUUCCCGUCGAACUCUUUAUCUUUUUC
This 235-nucleotide long non-coding RNA is filed under the name Prunus persica (peach). RNAcentral describes it as "long non-coding RNA (PPER_LNC004516)". The record is from RNAcentral. Lineage: Eukaryota; Viridiplantae; Streptophyta; Magnoliopsida; Rosales; Rosaceae.